Molecule: ribosomal RNA, 253 nt
Filed under: uncultured bacterium
Lineage: Bacteria
Description: partial 16S ribosomal RNA
Rfam family: Bacterial small subunit ribosomal RNA
Source: RNAcentral
UACGGGGGGUGCAAGCGUUAUUCGGAAUCAUUGGGCGUAAAGGGCGCGUAGGCGGUCUCUUAUGUCAGAUGUGAAAGCCCUCGGCUCAACCGAGGAAGUGCAUUUGAAACUGAGAGACUUGAGUAUGGGAGAGGGAAGCGGAAUUCCUGGUGUAGCGGUGAAAUGCGUAGAUAUCAGGAGGAACACCGGUGGCGAAGGCGGCUUCCUGGACCAAUACUGACGAUGAGGCGCGAAGGCGUGGGGAGCAAACUGG